RNAcentral lists this transfer RNA (74 nucleotides) under Methanobacteriota archaeon. RNAcentral's name for it is "Euryarchaeota archaeon tRNA-Lys". It matches the Rfam family "tRNA". From Rfam's summary of the family: Transfer RNA (tRNA) molecules are approximately 80 nucleotides in length. Their secondary structure includes four short double-helical elements and three loops (D, anti-codon, and T loops). Lineage: Archaea; Methanobacteriati; Methanobacteriota. The record is from RNAcentral.
GGGCGUGUAGCUCAGCUUGGUAGAGCAGCGGGCUUUUAACCCGAAGGUCGAGGGUUCAAAUCCCUCCACGCUCA